This 58-nucleotide transfer RNA is filed under the name Salmo salar (Atlantic salmon). It matches the Rfam family "tRNA", at positions 8 to 63 of the family's 71-position model. Rfam says of the family: Transfer RNA (tRNA) molecules are approximately 80 nucleotides in length. Their secondary structure includes four short double-helical elements and three loops (D, anti-codon, and T loops). The record is from Rfam by way of RNAcentral. Lineage: Eukaryota; Metazoa; Chordata; Actinopteri; Salmoniformes; Salmonidae.
UGACUCAGUUGGUAGAGCAUGGUGUUUGCAACACCAGGGUUGUGGGUUUAAUUCCCAC